AGAGUUUGAUCAUGGCUCAGAUUGAACGCUGGCGGCAGGCCUAACACAUGCAAGUCGAGCGGUAGAGAGAAGCUUGCUUCUCUUGAGAGCGGCGGACGGGUGAGUAAUGCCUAGGAAUCUGCCUGGUAGUGGGGGAUAACGUUCGGAAACGGACGCUAAUACCGCAUACGUCCUACGGGAGAAAGCAGGGGACUUUCGGGCCUUGCGCUAUCAGAUGAGCCUAGGUCGGAUUAGCUAGUUGGUGAGGUAAUGGCUCACCAAGGCGACGAUCCGUAACUGGUCUGAGAGGAUGAUCAGUCACACUGGAACUGAGACACGGUCCAGACUCCUACGGGAGGCAGCAGUGGGGAAUAUUGGACAAUGGGCGAAAGCCUGAUCCAGCCAUGCCGCGUGUGUGAAGAAGGUCUUCGGAUUGUAAAGCACUUUAAGUUGGGAGGAAGGGUUGUAGAUUAAUACUCUGCAAUUUUGACGUUACCGACAGAAUAAGCACCGGCUAACUCUGUGCCAGCAGCCGCGGUAAUACAGAGGGUGCAAGCGUUAAUCGGAAUUACUGGGCGUAAAGCGCGCGUAGGUGGUUUGUCAAGUUGGAUGUGAAAUCCCCGGGCUCAACCUGGGAACUGCAUUCAAAACUGACGAGCUAGAGUAUGGUAGAGGGUGGUGGAAUUUCCUGUGUAGCAGUGAAAUGCGUAGAUAUAGGAAGGAACACCAGUGGCGAAGGCGACCACCUGGACUGAUACUGACACUGAGGUGCGAAAGCGUGGGGAGCAAACAGGAUUAGAUACCCUGGUAGUCC
Molecule: ribosomal RNA, 793 nt
Filed under: uncultured bacterium
Lineage: Bacteria
Description: bacterial SSU rRNA
Rfam family: Bacterial small subunit ribosomal RNA
Source: RNAcentral